RNAcentral lists this ribosomal RNA (1228 nucleotides) under uncultured Sebacina. Its description in RNAcentral is "eukaryotic LSU rRNA". The stretch from base 592 to 1228 matches the Rfam family "Eukaryotic large subunit ribosomal RNA", at positions 1 to 606 of the family's 3401-position model. The record is from RNAcentral. Lineage: Eukaryota; Fungi; Basidiomycota; Agaricomycetes; Sebacinales; Sebacinaceae.
UUCCGUAGGUGAACCUGCGGAAGGAUCAUUAAUGAAACUUCAAAGUCGGCUCGUCUGUCUGUGCUGGUGGAGACACAUGUGCACGUCGGCGAGUCGCAAAUCCACACACCUGUGCAUCUAUGACUCUGAGUACCGCUUUGCAUGGCCCUCUGGGGCCUGGUACUCGAGUACUUUACACACUCUGAAUGUAAUGGAAUGUCUUUUUGUACAAUGUACAACUAAAAACAACUUUCAACAACGGAUCUCUUGGCUCUCGCAUCGAUGAAGAACGCAGCGAAAUGCGAUAAGUAAUGUGAAUUGCAGAAUUCAGUGAAUCAUCGAAUCUUUGAACGCACCUUGCACCCUUUGGUAUUCCGAAGGGUACACCCGUUUGAGUGUCAUUGUAAUCUCACUACGACCACUUUAUUGUUGGUUUGUAUGUGGACUUGGAUGUUGCCGUGUAACAAACGGCUCGUCUGAAAUGCCUGAGUGUACCCUGCUUUUGCGGCGUAUUCGGUGUGAUAAAUCUUCACCGGAGUUGACUUUCGGGUCGCGCUUGUAUUGUCGGGCUCUACGCUUCCAACCGUCCUAACAAGACAAUCUUUGACAAUUUGACUUCAAAUCGGGUGGGACUACCCGCUGAACUUAAGCAUAUCAAUAAGCGGAGGAAAAGAAACUAACAAGGAUUCCCCUAGUAACGGCGAGUGAAGAGGGAAAAGCUCAAAUUUUGAAUCUGGUGUCUUUGACUCCCGAGUUGUAAUCUAGAGAAGUGUUUUCCGCGUUGGACCGUGUACAAGUUCCCUGGAACGGGGCGUCAUAGAGGGUGAGAAUCCCGUAUAUGCCACGGACUGCCAAUGCUCUGUGAUACACUCUCAACGAGUCGAGUUGUUUGGGAAUGCAGCUCAAAAUGGGUGGUAAAUUCCAUCUAAAGCUAAAUAUUGGCGAGAGACCGAUAGCGAACAAGUACCGUGAGGGAAAGAUGAAAAGCACUUUGGAAAGAGAGUGAAACAGUACGUGAAAUUGUUGAAAGGGAAGCGUUUGAAGUCAGUCACGUCUGUCGGAAUUCAGCCUGGCUUCUGCCUGGUGUACUUUCCGUCCGACGGGUCAGCAUCAAUUUCGACCGAGGGAAAAAGACGUGAGGAAUGUGGCUGUCUUCGGGCAGUGUUAUAGCCUCGGGUUGUAUGUCUCGGUUGGGAUUGAGGAACGCAGCGCGCCUAUUGGCCGGGGGUUCGCGCCCCUCGGUACGCGC